This 228-nucleotide ribosomal RNA is filed under the name Paenibacillus alvei. RNAcentral describes it as "partial 23S ribosomal RNA". It matches the Rfam family "Bacterial large subunit ribosomal RNA", at positions 2693 to 2925 of the family's 2925-position model. Lineage: Bacteria; Bacillati; Bacillota; Bacilli; Caryophanales; Paenibacillaceae. The record is from RNAcentral.
CGGGAUGGACGCACCGCUGGUGUACCAGUUGUUCCGCCAGGAGCAUAGCUGGGUAGCUAUGUGCGGAAGGGAUAAGCGCUGAAAGCAUCUAAGCGUGAAGCCCCCCUCAAGAUGAGAUUUCCCAAUUUAGUAAGACCCCUUGAAGACGACGAGGUAGAUAGGUUGGAGGUGGAAGCACAGCAAUGUGUGGAGCUGACCAAUACUAAUCGGUCGAGGGCUUAUCCUAAA